GAUGAAGAACGUAUCGAAAUGCGAUAAGUAGUGUGAAUUGCAGAAUUCAGUGAAUCAUCGAAUCUUUGAACGCACAUUGCGCCCCUUGGUAUCCCGAGGGGCAUGCCUGUUCGAGCGUCAUUUCACCACUCAAGCCUGGCUUGGUGUUGGGCGACGUCCCCUUUGGGGACGCGCCUCGAAACGCUCGGCGGCGUGGCACCGGCUUUAAGCGUAGCAGAAUCUUUCGCUUUGGAAGUCGGGGCCCCGUCUGCCGGAAGACCUACUCGCAAGGUUGACCUCGGAUCAGGCAGGGAUACCCGCUGAACUUAAGCAUAUCAAUAAGCGGAGGA
Molecule: unclassified non-coding RNA, 329 nt
Filed under: soil metagenome
Description: partial contains 5.8S ribosomal RNA, internal transcribed spacer 2, and large subunit ribosomal RNA
Rfam family: 5.8S ribosomal RNA (bases 1-120)
Source: RNAcentral